RNAcentral lists this ribosomal RNA (316 nucleotides) under uncultured Mycoplasmatota bacterium. Its description in RNAcentral is "bacterial SSU rRNA". It matches the Rfam family "Bacterial small subunit ribosomal RNA", at positions 28 to 349 of the family's 1533-position model. The record is from RNAcentral. Lineage: Bacteria; Bacillati; Mycoplasmatota.
GACGAACGCUGGCGGCGUGCCUAAUACAUGCAAGUCGAACGAACUGUGGAAAGCUUGCUUUUCAGAGUUAGUGGCGAACGGGUGAGUAACACGUAAGUAACCUAGCUAUUAGACGAGGAUAACUACUGGAAACGGUAGCUAAGACUGGAUAUGAUAGAAAUAUUUAAAGGAUGCUAAGGCAUCGCUAAUAGAGGGGCUUGCGGCGCAUUAGCUAGUUGGUAGGGUAAAAGCCAACCAAGGCGAUGAUGCGUAGCCGACCUGAGAGGGUGACCGGCCACACUGGGACUGAGACACGGCCCAGACUCCUACGGGAGGG